This 279-nucleotide ribosomal RNA is filed under the name uncultured bacterium. Its description in RNAcentral is "partial 16S ribosomal RNA". It matches the Rfam family "Bacterial small subunit ribosomal RNA", at positions 506 to 784 of the family's 1533-position model. The record is from RNAcentral.
UGCCAGCCGCCGCGGUAAUACAGAGGGUGCGAGCGUUAAUCGGAAUUACUGGGCGUAAAGCGUGCGUAGGCGGUUAAUUAAGUCAGAUGUGAAAGCCCUGGGCUCAACCUGGGAAUUGCAUUUGAUACUGGUUAACUUGAGUAUGGGAGAGGGAAGUGGAAUUCCGAGUGUAGGGGUGAAAUCCGUAGAUAUUCGGAGGAACACCAGUGGCGAAGGCGGCUUUCUGGACCGAUACUGACGCUGAGACGCGAAAGCGUGGGGAGCAAACAGGAUUAGAUA